AUUUUGUUGUUUGAUGGAUCAAGACAUAGGUGCACACUUUAGGUCAAAGAAUACCUAAUGAAAACACACGGGUUAGAUGGAGGAGCAAGUUUGUGAGGAGAGUAAGAACGGAGCCAAGGAUAACACAAACACCCAAAGACCCGAAGUUUGGAAUAAUUAGGCAGGGAUUGAAAGAGAAUGGCAUAGGGGGACUGAAGGCGAAGGGUAGGUGUAGGUAAUCGAUCGAUCAGAUAAACUGUAGUAGCAAAGGCAAAAGACCAAUACGUGAGUGGCAUAGAGGCAAGAGAGAGAAGAGAAAGACCCGUUUCAACAAUAUGACGAUGAUGACGUUCUGCAUACCCAUUGUGUUCUGGAGUGUGAGGUGGAGAGGUUAGAUGAGAAAUGCCAUGCGCCGUCCAAAACUAAGAUAGUGCUUGGUAUUCCCCCAUUGUUAGAGCAAAGUGUGAUAAUAUGUUGAUUAAAUUUUUUUUACUCAAGUGCUU
RNAcentral lists this long non-coding RNA (482 nucleotides) under Olea europaea subsp. europaea. Lineage: Eukaryota; Viridiplantae; Streptophyta; Magnoliopsida; Lamiales; Oleaceae. The record is from RNAcentral.